Molecule: ribosomal RNA, 420 nt
Filed under: bacterium
Lineage: Bacteria
Description: partial 16S ribosomal RNA
Rfam family: Bacterial small subunit ribosomal RNA
Source: RNAcentral
UGGGGGAUAUUGCACAAUGGGCGAAAGCCUGAUGCAGCGACGCCGCGUGGGGGAUGAAGGCUUUCGGGUUGUAAACCUCUUUCGCUAUCGAACAAGGCCCGCUUAGGGUGGGUUGAGGGUAGUUGGAGAAGAAGCGCCGGCUAACUACGUGCCAGCAGCCGCGGUAAUACGUAGGGCGCGAGCGUUGUCCGGAAUUAUUGGGCGUAAAGGGCUUGUAGGCGGCUUGUUGCGCCUGCUGUGAAAACGCGGGGCUUAACUUCGCGCGUGCAGUGGGUACGGGCAGGCUUGAGUGUGGUAGGGGUGACUGGAAUUCCAGGUGUAGCGGUGGAAUGCGCAGAUAUCUGGAGGAACACCGAUGGCGAAGGCAGGUCACUGGGCCAUUACUGACGCUGAGGAGCGAAAGCAUGGGUAGCGAACAGG